Astyanax mexicanus (Mexican tetra) is the source of this 533-nucleotide long non-coding RNA. RefSeq lists it as uncharacterized. Lineage: Eukaryota; Metazoa; Chordata; Actinopteri; Characiformes; Acestrorhamphidae. The record is from RefSeq and is a predicted model, not a curated record. The transcript is spliced from 2 exons.
UUUGUAGGGCUGGACCCGAAUAUUCGGGUAUUCGGAUAUUCGUUCGUUGAGUAGGUAUUCGGUUUUUAAUUUUGGUAUUCGGAUAUUCGUUUUUUUUCUCCUUUCCAGAGUUCCACCUCAGUCUAACCACUUCUGUUCUCGCGGGUCCCGUCAGAAUAUCUUGCGCGCGGGACAGAACUGAACUGUUAUUGGCUGGAGCGGGAGUUUAAUCCAGACGAUGCGGGAGCAAAUUAAUAAAUAGUUAAGAAAACUGUAAUAAUUGUAAAAAAAAAAAAACCUAAAGAAAACUCUCAACGCGCAGGAUGGACCGACACACACACGCACACACCGAUGGUGUUUGGACUGGGGUAAGGAACGGGACCACACUAUUCAGCGCUGCUGUUUUAAUAAAUAUAUAAGUAAAUUUGAAGCAUUAAAUGUAGUUUAUUUAAUUUAUAUUAGGAACGUGGGGCGGGAGCGGCAGAAAUGUGUAUGUGGCGGGCGGGCGCGGGAUUAAAAGAAGCAAUUUUUUUGCGGAGCGGUAACGAGACAGA